GACAGCAUAUGUCCGUAGGUAGCGUGUGUACUUCUCGUGAUCAUAGAAUGAGGGUCCUAUAAGUUAACCCUCUGGAAGUCCCUUAGGGUCGCCCUCUGCUUCUCGCAUGACUUGGGCUCUGAUGGGGUUUUGUAAGUUAGCCCCACCUCUAAGUCACCGAUGACUCAUCAUCAAUCAGUGAGGGUCCUUAUGGUUAGCCCUCAUUUGUUAGACGUAGUUCCCGUUAAAGAAAUUCUUCCCAGCAAAAGAAGUUUCGAUCAUUCAUCAUGCUUAAGCA
RNAcentral lists this long non-coding RNA (277 nucleotides) under Elaeis guineensis (African oil palm). RNAcentral's name for it is "long non-coding RNA (EGUI_LNC063994)". Lineage: Eukaryota; Viridiplantae; Streptophyta; Magnoliopsida; Arecales; Arecaceae. The record is from RNAcentral.